RNAcentral lists this ribosomal RNA (659 nucleotides) under uncultured Crater Lake bacterium CL0-37. RNAcentral's name for it is "bacterial SSU rRNA". It matches the Rfam family "Bacterial small subunit ribosomal RNA", at positions 10 to 671 of the family's 1533-position model. The record is from RNAcentral.
AGUUUGAUCCUGGCUCAGGAUGAACGCUAGCGGCAGGCUUUAACACAUGCAAGUCGAAGGGUAUAGUAGCAAUACUAGAGGCCGGCGCACGGGUGCGUGACGCGUAUGCAAUCUACCUUUUACAGAGGGAUAGCCCAGAGAAAUUUGGAUUAAUACCUCAUAGUAUAGCGACCUGGCAUCAGGAUUCUAUUAAAGUCACAACGGUAAAAGAUGAGCAUGCGUCCCAUUAGCUAGUUGGUAAGGUAACGGCUUACCAAGGCGACGAUGGGUAGGGGUCCUGAGAGGGAGAUCCCCCACACUGGUACUGAGACACGGACCAGACUCCUACGGGAGGCAGCAGUGAGGAAUAUUGGACAAUGGGCGCAAGCCUGAUCCAGCCAUGCCGCGUGCAGGAUGACGGUCCUAUGGAUUGUAAACUGCUUUUGUACAGGAAGAAACCCUUUCACGUGUGAGAGAUUGACGGUACUGUAAGAAUAAGGAUCGGCUAACUCCGUGCCAGCAGCCGCGGUAAUACGGAGGAUCCAAGCGUUAUCCGGAAUCAUUGGGUUUAAAGGGUCCGUAGGCGGCCAGAUAAGUCAGUGGUGAAAGCCCAUCGCUCAACGGUGGAACGGCCAUUGAUACUGUCUGGCUUGAAUUACAAGGAAGUAACUAGAAUAUGU